AUUGAACGCUGGCGGCAUGCUUUACACAUGCAAGUCGAACGGCAGCGCGGGCUUCGGCCUGGCGGCGAGUGGCGAACGGGUGAGUAAUGCAUCGGAACGUGCCCAGUAGUGGGGGAUAGCCCGGCGAAAGCCGGAUUAAUACCGCAUACGACCUGAGGGUGAAAGCGGGGGACCGAAAGGCCUCGCGCUAUUGGAUCGGCCGAUGUCGGAUUAGCUAGUUGGUGGGGUAAAGGCUUACCAAGGCGACGAUCCGUAGCUGGUCUGAGAGGACGACCAGCCACACUGGGACUGAGACACGGCCCAGACUCCUACGGGAGGCAGCAGUGGGGAAUUUUGGACAAUGGGGGCAACCCUGAUCCAGCCAUGCCGCGUGCGGGAAGAAGGCCUUCGGGUUGUAAACCGCUUUUGUUCGGGAAGAAAUCCUCUGGGCUAAUACCCCGGGGGGAUGACGGUACCGGAAGAAUAAGCACCGGCUAACUACGUG
RNAcentral lists this ribosomal RNA (484 nucleotides) under uncultured bacterium. RNAcentral's name for it is "partial 16S ribosomal RNA". It matches the Rfam family "Bacterial small subunit ribosomal RNA", at positions 28 to 507 of the family's 1533-position model. The record is from RNAcentral.